CCAGAGAUUAACUGGACUUUGAUGCUGUUGUGCUUGGCUGUCACUGUUGGUUUUAGAGACACUAAACGAAUGGGUAAUGCCUCAGGUUUGGCAGUUAUAACUGUUAUGCUGGUUACCACCUGCCUAAUGUCUCUGGUAAUUGUCUUAUGUUGGCACAAGAGUGUUUUUCUUGCAAUAUGCUUUGUAUUCUUUUUCGGCACAAUUGAAGCCCUCUACUUCACUGCUUC
Molecule: unclassified non-coding RNA, 227 nt
Filed under: Hevea brasiliensis (rubber tree)
Lineage: Eukaryota; Viridiplantae; Streptophyta; Magnoliopsida; Malpighiales; Euphorbiaceae
Source: RNAcentral